Molecule: unclassified non-coding RNA, 943 nt
Filed under: Hevea brasiliensis (rubber tree)
Lineage: Eukaryota; Viridiplantae; Streptophyta; Magnoliopsida; Malpighiales; Euphorbiaceae
Source: RNAcentral
AUAAUAAUAAUAAUAAUUUGGAAAAUUUGAAGUGAAGAAAGUAAAAUGAAAAAGGAAGAAGACUAGCAAUGCAUAGUGAAGUGAUUGAAGUUGAAGGUCAAGACGAACGUGCCACUCGGUUUUGAAGUCCAACGGUAAUGAAAUAUGAAUUUGUUGUUUUAAUUGGAAAUUAGUCAAUUUGCUUCUUUGUUUCCUGUCGGAAGGCUGUGAGGACCACCUUUUACAUCAACUUCCAACUACCCACCCUUCCUUCAAUUAAUCUCCAAUCCCCGCUAGAGCUUAUGUAGUCCCUACAACAGCAUUUUACACCCCUGAUCCCAACAACAUUGUGAUUUGGGCAUAAACAAUUCAAAACUGCUUUUAUUAAACAUCAAAGAUUCUUCAAAGCCCUUCUUACUAAGGCAUGUCCAAGCUUGUAUUCUAACUUAAAAUAGAGAGACGCAUUAAAAUUUUAAGAUAAAAAAAAAGAUUUAUAAUCCAAAAUAAUAAAAUCAAAUUUUAACUUCAUUCGAAGCAGGAUAGUUAAUUUAUAUGUGGAUUUUAUAGACCAAUAAUUACAAACUAAACUCACCCGAAUUUUGUAGCAAGACACCUAAAAAUUAAAGUCUGUAAAUUUUAUCAAUUGACCAAAAUUUCAAGACCUGAUCUCAUCAAACACUAAAACCACUUGUUGACCUUUUAUAUUUGUCUCCUAUCCAUAUGCUUUCCAAAUCUACAAUAAUUAUUCAAGAUCCCUUUACUUUGCAUAAGAGGGAGGAAAUUAGCAACUCAUAUUGACUAGCCUACCUUGGUUUGAUGGUUAAAAGGCAUAUCACUCACUUAAUAGAUCAAAUUUGAGCACGCACUCUCCACUCUCUUAAUCCACCUCUAUGUCUCCUCUAAGCUGAGCCCAUCAUCAUGCUCAACUGUAUCUGGAAAAAACUCUUCAUUUGGAUACAUCUUC